Molecule: ribosomal RNA, 253 nt
Filed under: uncultured bacterium
Lineage: Bacteria
Description: partial 16S ribosomal RNA
Rfam family: Bacterial small subunit ribosomal RNA
Source: RNAcentral
UACAGAGGGGCAAGCGUUGUCCGGAUUUACUGGGCGUACAGCGCGCGCAGGCGGUCGUGUAUGUGAGCGGUGACAUCCGCGGGCUCAACCCGCGGCGGCCCGCUUACACAGCGCGACUGGAGGCAGGGAGAGGGAUGUGGAAUACCCGGUGGAGCGGUGAAAUGCGUAGAGAUCGGGUGGAACACCAGCGGCGAAGGCGGCAUCCUGGCCCUGUGACUGACGCUGAGGCGCGAUAGCGUGGGGAGCAAACGGG